This 382-nucleotide ribosomal RNA is filed under the name uncultured bacterium. RNAcentral's name for it is "bacterial SSU rRNA". It matches the Rfam family "Bacterial small subunit ribosomal RNA", at positions 28 to 404 of the family's 1533-position model. The record is from RNAcentral.
GACGAACGCUGGCGGCGUGCUUAACACAUGCAAGUCGAGCGAGAAAGCUCCUUCGGGAGUGAGUACAGCGGCGAACGGGUGAGUAACACGUGGGUAAUCUGCCCUCAGGAGUGGGACAACCCGGGGAAACCCGGGCUAAUACCGCAUGAUGCGUCGGUCCGAUGGGACCGCCGCCAAAAGGUAGCUUCGGCCUCCGCCUGAGGAUGAGCCCGCGGCGGAUUAGCUUGUUAGUGGGGAACGGCUCACCAAGGCGACGAUCCGUAGCUGGUCUGAGAGGACGAUCAGCCACACUGGGACUGAGACACGGCCCAGACUCCUACGGGAGGCAGCAGUGGGGAAUCUUGCGCAAUGGGCGAAAGCCUGACGCAGCAACGCCGCGUGA